Molecule: long non-coding RNA, 1279 nt
Filed under: Chinchilla lanigera (long-tailed chinchilla)
Lineage: Eukaryota; Metazoa; Chordata; Mammalia; Rodentia; Chinchillidae
Description: lncRNA (ENSCLAG00000022243.1)
Source: RNAcentral
CAGUUUUAUGAACAACUAAGUAAGUGUAGCUAAAAAUACUAAUGAGAUAUAAUUCUUAGCUUCUCAGAUGGGAGAAAAAUGAGAAGCUGGCUGACACUCAGGACCGUCAUGGCUGAGGGGACCGGGCUCUGCCAAGCACGGCUAGAAGGAGCAGAAAUCCAAACUAAUGUUCAGGGAGAUUUAUUUAUAUCUCUCUGGGUAGCUCCCUGGCUUACUCUGCAUCACUGAGAAGACUGGAGCGGGGGUUCUCAGUGCCUCAGUUUCCCCACUUACUCAGUAGCUAGAACAACAAAGACCUGUUUGUGCAGGCAGAAGAUUGAGGAGGGUGGGAAGCAGAACUAAGAAGUGAUUAUGAGGUUAUCAAUGCAAAGACCACCAGGCACUGUGACAGCGACAGUCACCUCUGACCUGCAUGGCCCCCCAGCUUCCCGCCCAGAACACUCUGACAUUUUAGUUGGUCUCAGCUGUGGCAAGAAGCAGCUGGACCCCAGUGAGAAGAGGAAACCAGAGGCUGCCUUCUGACAGCUGGGGUCAGGGUCCCUGGCUCAGUGGGCCUGAGUUCAGGUGCACCUACUUCCUCAUUCCCAUUCUGUCAAAUGGCACAUUAAUAAGCAAGAAGGAGAUUCGGGGAAGAAUUUCCAGAAGGACAAAAACUCAUCAGAUCUGACAACCGACUGGUCCUUUCUCUGUGCUGUGCGGUAGAGGAGAGGAUGCAACCUCGUGAAUGUCCGACUGCAAAGACCCACGUCUACAAAUUGCUGUCAGCCAGAGGAAUGACUGUAACUUCCUCGGUGCCGAGGCAGAGCCAAUGCCUUCUCUGUGUGUGUCUACAGGACAGACUUCAGUCAGUAUCUGCUGAGCACAUGCAUGGAUUGAUUUUAUACUCCUUCGUCCCACAAGGUCACGCCUUCCUCAUGCUUCCUUUUGAUCCAACGCAGGAGCAGGGUCGAUGUUAUUACUCCAAAGACCAAAUCGGCAAUGGUGUGGACUCUAGAGAUCUUGGGCUCAAGGUCACUGAAACUGAUGAACAUCUCAAGGUUAUUGCACGAUGGGCAAAGACUGCACCACAAAGCCAAAAGAAUGGAAAUUUUACCUCUCAGUGGUCUGCUGAUGUGAUUUCUUAUUUACUGCACCUUCCCUUCUAAUUGUGUUUAGCCAAGGGUUUAUCAAAAAUGUCACUGUUGGCUUUUUUCCUUCCCAAGAUCAAUAGGGGAGGGUUUCACUGGUUGUGAAAAUAUAUAAAAUAUAUCAUCAAGUAGAGGGAGUAAAUUGGGAAUGU